CACUGUAAACCCUAAUGUUGUAAUUAAUAAAGAAAUCAAGUUAACAUAACUUCACAUUACUUAUAACACCAAGUUUUGCCAUCAAAACUUAAACAGGUGUGUUUAAAUUACUCAUUGGCAGUAAAAAUCUUUUGAAUUAAGAUUUUAAGUGUUAUUAACUCAGAAUUUCCAUUUAUUUAAAUUAUUCGCUACGUCUCUGUUUAAAAAUGAUUGGUCGCGCUUGAAAUUCUGCCUUGACAACAGCGCCGAUUGGCCAAUAUAACACAAGGCGGGAAUUUUUUGUCGAAUUUGCUGAAGACGCAGCACUGACUGCGGUUCACAAUCAUUUGCAGGAACACCUGAAAGAAGAAAUAAAUAAUACAGUUUAAAGUUAAAUAGCGGGCCAGCUGCACAAGCAGCCAGACAGGCGUUAAAGCAGGCGGGAAGAGAGUCGUCGUGAAAGACCCAGAGUACGCUGGGACAGUAACAUUAGCAGGCAGGUGGUUAUGAAGCAGACGAGGAGGGGGAAGAGUCGAGGCCACAGGAGUAACGUUAAGCUGGUAAAUUUUGCUUUAUUGUCUGCUAUGUUUUAUUUUAUUUUUUAUACAACUGGACUUAAGGUAUAAAUGCGUUUAAGUUAAAAUCCCCUAACUUCCAAACAUAGCCAAUGUUUUACAGACUAACUUAGCACUGUUGUUUACAAUAGACCUAACGUUAAGCGUGAUAUUGCGGCUCGAACUUCGAGAAAAAUCUAUUUCCAGACACUGAAAUGUCUCUUUGUGUAAUUUGUGAAAGGACGUUUCUUUUAUUUGGUGUAAAAUUGGGCUGCCGCGUGAAUACUGACUUAUGCCUAACGUUAAUCGUUAUAAGAAUUUAUUUGGCCGGUAUGUUACUAAAAACCGCAGACCUUUUCCUGCCUGCGACACAUUUACAGAGAUAUUAUUAAUUAAUGAAUAGUUAUGUGGAAUGAAAUUAUAUGAAAUGAUAGGUCUAUGCAAGAAACUAAACCUCAUAUAUUACCUUUAAUUCACAGCCUCUGCAAACAAAGCUGAAUUUGUUUACUACAGUCUGGAACACAAGCGUA
Carassius gibelio (silver crucian carp) is the source of this 1063-nucleotide long non-coding RNA. RefSeq lists it as uncharacterized. The record is from RefSeq and is a predicted model, not a curated record. Lineage: Eukaryota; Metazoa; Chordata; Actinopteri; Cypriniformes; Cyprinidae. The transcript has 3 exons.